This 182-nucleotide unclassified non-coding RNA is filed under the name uncultured fungus. RNAcentral describes it as "sequence contains ITS1, 5.8S rRNA gene". The record is from RNAcentral. Lineage: Eukaryota; Fungi.
AAAAGUCCAACCUGACUCUUUGGGCCCUUCGCCGGGCACAAAGUUAAACCCACUGUGCAACUUCAAAUUUUUGCUUCGGCAGCUGGCCGGGUCUAAACAUUCGCGCCGUCAGCCUGCCGGCAGCACCAAUUCAAACCAGUUUUACAAAAUAUGUCUGAACGCAUCAUUAUUGAAUGAAAUCA